UACGUAGGGUGCAAGCGUUAAUCGGAAUUACUGGGCGUAAAGCGUGCGCAGGUGGUUUUUUAAGUUUGUUGUGAAAGCCCCGGGCUCAACCUGGGAAUUGCGAUGAAGACUGCAAGGCUUGAAUCUGGCAGAGGGGGGUAGAAUUCCACGUGUAGCGGUGAAAUGCGUAGAGAUGUGGAGGAACACCGAUGGCGAAGGCAGCCCCCUGGGUCAAGAUUGACGCUCAUGCACGAAAGCGUGGGGAGCAAACAGG
This 253-nucleotide ribosomal RNA is filed under the name uncultured bacterium. Its description in RNAcentral is "partial 16S ribosomal RNA". It matches the Rfam family "Bacterial small subunit ribosomal RNA", at positions 524 to 776 of the family's 1533-position model. The record is from RNAcentral.